AACGAACGCUGGCGGCAUGCCUAACACAUGCAAGUCGAACGAGACCUUCGGGUCUAGUGGCGCACGGGUGCGUAACGCGUGGGAACCUGCCCUUAGGUUCGGAAUAACUCCCCGAAAGGGGUGCUAAUACCGGAUAAUGUCUUCGGACCAAAGAUUUAUCGCCUUUGGAUGGGCCCGCGUUGGAUUAGCUAGUUGGUAGGGUAAAAGCCUACCAAGGCGACGAUCCAUAGCUGGUCUGAGAGGAUGAUCAGCCACACUGGGGCUGAGACCCGGCCCAGACUCCUACGGGAGGCAGCAGUGGGGAAUAUUGGGCGAUGGGCGAAAGCCUGAUCCAGCCAUGCCGCGUGAGUGAUGAAGGCCUUAGGGUUGUAAAGCUCUUUUACACGGGAUGAUAAUGACAGUACCGGGAGAAUAAGCUCCGGCUAACUCCGUG
This 433-nucleotide ribosomal RNA is filed under the name uncultured bacterium. RNAcentral describes it as "partial 16S ribosomal RNA". It matches the Rfam family "Bacterial small subunit ribosomal RNA", at positions 29 to 507 of the family's 1533-position model. The record is from RNAcentral.